This 433-nucleotide ribosomal RNA is filed under the name uncultured bacterium. RNAcentral describes it as "partial 16S ribosomal RNA". It matches the Rfam family "Bacterial small subunit ribosomal RNA", at positions 29 to 507 of the family's 1533-position model. The record is from RNAcentral.
AGCGAACGCUGGCGGCAGGCCUAACACAUGCAAGUCGAACGGAACCUUCGGGAAUAGUGGCGGACGGGUGAGUAACACGUGGGAACGUGCCAUUUGGUUCGGAACUACUCAGGGAAACUUGGGCUAAUAUCGGAUGUGCCCCUCGGGGGAAAGAUUUAUCGCCAUUGGAGCGGCCCGCGUCUGAUUAGCCAGGUGGUGAGGUAACGGCCCACCAAGGCGACGAUCAGUAGCUGGUCUGAGAGGAUGAUCAGCCACACUGGGACUGAGACACGGCCCAGACCCCUACGGGAGGCAGCAGUGGGGAAUCUUGCGCAAUGGGCGAAAGCCUGACGCAGCCAUGCCGCGUGAAUGAUGAAGGUCUUAGGAUUGUAAAAUUCUUUCAGCGGGGACGAUAAUGACGGUACCCGCAGAAGAAGCUCCGGCUAACUUCGUG